UGGGGAAUAUUGGACAAUGGGCGAAAGCCUGAUCCAGCCAUGCCGCGUGUGUGAAGAAGGUCUUCGGAUUGUAAAGCACUUUAAGUUGGGAGGAAGGGCAGUAAGCGAAUACCUUGCUGUUUUGACGUUACCGACAGAAUAAGCACCGGCUAACUCUGUGCCAGCAGCCGCGGUAAUACAGAGGGUGCAAGCGUUAAUCGGAAUUACUGGGCGUAAAGCGCGCGUAGGUGGUUCGUUAAGUGUAAUGUGAAAGCCCCGGGCUCAAAAUGGGAACUGCAUCCAAAACAGGAGAGAUAGAGUAGGGCAGAGGGUGGUGGAAUUUCCUGUGUAGCGGUGAAAUGCGUAGAUAUAGGAAGGAAAACAAGUGGCGAAGGCGACCACCUGGGCUCAUACUGACACUGAGGUGCGAAAGCGUGGGGAGCAAACAGG
RNAcentral lists this ribosomal RNA (429 nucleotides) under Pseudomonadota bacterium. Its description in RNAcentral is "Proteobacteria bacterium partial 16S ribosomal RNA". It matches the Rfam family "Bacterial small subunit ribosomal RNA", at positions 355 to 776 of the family's 1533-position model. The record is from RNAcentral. Lineage: Bacteria; Pseudomonadati; Pseudomonadota.